RNAcentral lists this ribosomal RNA (431 nucleotides) under uncultured bacterium. RNAcentral's name for it is "bacterial SSU rRNA". It matches the Rfam family "Bacterial small subunit ribosomal RNA", at positions 917 to 1350 of the family's 1533-position model. The record is from RNAcentral.
GGACCCGCACAAGCGGUGGAGCAUGUGGUUUAAUUCGAUGCAACGCGAAGAACCUUACCAGGGUUUGACAUCCUGCGAAUCUCUUGGAAACAGGAGAGUGCCUUCGGGAACGCAGUGACAGGUGGUGCAUGGCUGUCGUCAGCUCGUGUCGUGAGAUGUUGGGUUAAGUCCCGCAACGAGCGCAACCCACGUCUUUAGUUGCCAGCAUUUAGUUGGGCACUCUAGAGAGACUGCCGGUGAUAAACCGGAGGAAGGUGUGGAUGACGUCAAGUCAUCAUGCCCCUUACAUCCUGGGCUACACACGUGCUACAAUGGAUGUGACAAAAAGUUGCGAACUCGCGAGAGUAAGCUAAUCUCUAAACACGUCCCUAGUUCAGAUUGUAGGCUGCAACUCGCCUACAUGAAGGUGGAAUCGCUAGUAAUCGCAGGUC